GUACGUGCCGGCCGGCGUGGCGCAGCGUCCGGCGCUGCUGGUGGCCGUGCACUACUGCACCGGUUCGGGGCCCGACAUGUACGCC
This 85-nucleotide transfer RNA is filed under the name Actinomadura sp. NBRC 104425. RNAcentral's name for it is "tRNA-Arg". The record is from RNAcentral. Lineage: Bacteria; Bacillati; Actinomycetota; Actinomycetes; Streptosporangiales; Thermomonosporaceae.